GACGAACGCUGGCGGCGUGCUUAACACAUGCAAGUCGAGCGGUAAGGCCCUUUCGGGGGUACACGAGCGGCGAACGGGUGAGUAACACGUGGGUGACCUGCCCUCAGCUCUGGGAUAAGCCUGGGAAACCGGGUCUAAUACUGGAUAUGACUCCAUGACGCAUGUUGUGGGGUGGAAAGCCUUGUGCGGCUGAGGAUGGGCCCGCGGCCUAUCAGCUUGUUGGUGGGGUGANGGCCUACCAAGGCGACGACGGGUAGCCGGCCUGAGAGGGCGACCGGCCACACUGGGACUGAGACACGGCCCAGACUCCUACGGGAGGCGGGCAGUGGGGAAUCUUGCGCAAUGGGCGAAAGCCUGACGCAGCGACGCCGCGUGAGGGAUGACGGCCUGGUGUAAC
RNAcentral lists this ribosomal RNA (397 nucleotides) under uncultured bacterium. RNAcentral describes it as "bacterial SSU rRNA". It matches the Rfam family "Bacterial small subunit ribosomal RNA", at positions 28 to 429 of the family's 1533-position model. The record is from RNAcentral.